Molecule: ribosomal RNA, 440 nt
Filed under: uncultured bacterium
Lineage: Bacteria
Description: partial 16S ribosomal RNA
Rfam family: Bacterial small subunit ribosomal RNA
Source: RNAcentral
ACUACGGGUGGCAGCAGUGGGGGAUAUUGCACAAUGGGGGAAACCCUGAUGCAGCGACGCCGCGUGUGGGAAGACGGUCCUCUGGAUUGUAAACCACUGUCCCCAGGGACGAAGAUGACGGUACCUGGGGAGGAAGCUCCGGCUAACUACGUGCCAGCAGCCGCGGUAAUACGUAGGGAGCGAGCGUUGUCCGGAAUUACUGGGUGUAAAGGGAGCGUAGGCGGGACUGCAAGUUGGGUGUCAAAUCUACCGGCUCAACCGGUAGCCGCACUCAAAACUGCAGUUCUUGAGUGAAGUAGAGGCAGGCGGAAUUCCUAGUGUAGCGGUGAAAUGCGUAGAUAGUAGGAGGAACACCAGUGGCGAAGGCGGCCUGCUGGGCUUUUACUGACGCUGAGGCUCGAAAGUGUGGGGAGCAAACAGGAUUAGAUACCCGGGUAGUC